This 72-nucleotide transfer RNA is filed under the name Camelus ferus (Wild Bactrian camel). It matches the Rfam family "tRNA". From Rfam's summary of the family: Transfer RNA (tRNA) molecules are approximately 80 nucleotides in length. Their secondary structure includes four short double-helical elements and three loops (D, anti-codon, and T loops). The record is from Rfam by way of RNAcentral. Lineage: Eukaryota; Metazoa; Chordata; Mammalia; Artiodactyla; Camelidae.
GAGGGUAUAGCUCAGUGGUAGAGUGCAUGCUUAGCAUGCACAGGGUCCUGGGUUCAAUCCCCAGUACCUCCU